AGUGAACGCUGGCGGUAGGCCUAACACAUGCAAGUCGAACGGCAGCACAGUAAGAGCUUGCUCUUACGGGUGGCGAGUGGCGGACGGGUGAGGAAUACAUCGGAAUCUACUUUUUCGUGGGGGAUAACGUAGGGAAACUUACGCUAAUACCGCAUACGACCUACGGGUGAAAGCAGGGGAUCUUCGGACCUUUCGCGAUUGAAUGAGCCGAUGCCGAAUUAGCUAGUUGGCGGGGUAAAGGCCCACCAAGGCGACGAUCCGUAGCUGGUCUGAGAGGAUGAUCAGCCACACUGGAACUGAGACACGGUCCAGACUCCUACGGGAGGCAGCAGUGGGGAAUAUUGGACAAUGGGCGCAAGCCUGAUCCAGCCAUACCGCGUGGGUGAAGAAGGUCUUCGGGUUGUAAAGCUCUGUUGUUGGGAAAGAAAAGCAGCAGGUUAAUACCCCGCUGUUCUGACGGUACCCAAAGAAUAAGCACCGGCUAACUUCGUG
This 492-nucleotide ribosomal RNA is filed under the name uncultured bacterium. Its description in RNAcentral is "partial 16S ribosomal RNA". It matches the Rfam family "Bacterial small subunit ribosomal RNA", at positions 29 to 507 of the family's 1533-position model. The record is from RNAcentral.